RNAcentral lists this unclassified non-coding RNA (395 nucleotides) under soil metagenome. RNAcentral's name for it is "partial contains 5.8S ribosomal RNA, internal transcribed spacer 2, and large subunit ribosomal RNA". The stretch from base 1 to 122 matches the Rfam family "5.8S ribosomal RNA", at positions 35 to 154 of the family's 154-position model. The record is from RNAcentral.
GAUGAAGAACGUAGCGAAAUGCGAUACUUGGUGUGAAUUGCAGAAUCCCGUGAACCAUCGAGUCUUUGAACGCAAGUUGCGCCCGAAGCCAUCAGGUUGAGGGCACGUCUGCCUGGGCGUCACAUAUCGUUGCCCAAUGCCUAUUGCAGUGCAAUAGGAAUUUCUAGGGCGAAUGAUGGCUUCCCGUGAGCCUUGUUGCCUCGCGGUUGGUUGAAAAUCGAGUCCUUGGUAGGGUGUGCCAUGGUAGAUGGUGGUCGAGUUAGAACGAUACCGAUCAUGUGCAUGCUCCCCAAAAUAUGGCCUCUAUGACCCACACGCGUCUUUUGACGCUCAUGACGAGACCUCAGGUCAGGCGGGGCUACCCGCUGAAUUUAAGCAUAUCAAUAAGCGGAGGA